GCAUAGUUUAGAGUCUGUAUGUGAGGGUGGCUGGGAGGUGUGCUGGAGUUUUGUCCGGCUGAGCUGUUUUCCCUGGGGUUGGUUCAGUAACUCAAACACGCUCUGUUACAGCUGUUGCUUUGCUGUGUUUAUCCCCAGUUUUAGUUCUGUAGGGUGGUUAAAGCUUUGCUCCCAGUCAGGGGGUUCUGUGGGCACUGACUGCUUCUCUUUCUGCAGCUGGUGCUGACAAGAAGGCUGAGGCUGGUGCUGGAGCAGCCACGGAAUUCCAGUUUAGAGGUGGAUUCGGUCGUGGACGUGGUCAGCCCCCGCAGUAGAACUUUGUGCUCAAUUUUUGUGUAUAAUAAAAGAGGUGAAAAUGCCA
Zonotrichia albicollis (white-throated sparrow) is the source of this 361-nucleotide non-coding RNA. NCBI's taxonomy places the organism in Eukaryota, Metazoa, Chordata, Aves, Passeriformes, Passerellidae. The record is from RefSeq and is a predicted model, not a curated record.